GUAAGGAAUAUUGGUCAAUGGACGAAAGUCUGAACCAGCCAUGCCGCGUGGAGGAUGAAGGUCCUCUGGAUUGUAAACUUCUUUUAUAUGGGACGAAAAUGGGGCUUUCUAGCUCAACUGACGGUACCAUAUGAAUAAGCACCGGCUAACUCCGUGCCAGCAGCCGCGGUAAUACGGAGGGUGCAAGCGUUAUCCGGAUUCACUGGGUUUAACGGGUGCGUAGGUGGAUUGGUAAGUCAGAGGUGAAAUCUCCGGGCUCAACUCGGAAACUGCCUUUGAUACUAUGAAUCUGGAAUAUUGUGGAGGUUAGCGGAAUAUGUCAUGUAGCGGUGAAAUGCUUAGGUAUGACAUAGAACACCAAUUGCGAAGGCAGCUGGCUACACAUAUAUUGACACUGAGGCACGAAAGCGUGGGGAUCAAACAGGAUUAGAUACCCUGGUAGUCC
This 445-nucleotide ribosomal RNA is filed under the name uncultured bacterium. RNAcentral describes it as "partial 16S ribosomal RNA". It matches the Rfam family "Bacterial small subunit ribosomal RNA", at positions 354 to 796 of the family's 1533-position model. The record is from RNAcentral.